AGCACUUUUUAAAACAGGUGCUGACAGAUGUAAGUCCGACGUGCCCGAUUAAAGGCACGGCCUCAAAACUAUACAGGCUUUGGGAUUAC
Molecule: non-coding RNA, 89 nt
Filed under: unclassified sequences
Description: S15-Methanomicrobia ribosomal protein leader
Rfam family: S15-Methanomicrobia ribosomal protein leader
Source: RNAcentral